RNAcentral lists this long non-coding RNA (281 nucleotides) under Lathyrus oleraceus (garden pea). RNAcentral's name for it is "Pisum sativum (pea) long non-coding RNA (PSAT_LNC004733)". The record is from RNAcentral. Lineage: Eukaryota; Viridiplantae; Streptophyta; Magnoliopsida; Fabales; Fabaceae.
UUUCAUCAUAAUCUACUUAAGAUGUCAAAGAUACCUGAGUCUCCUCAAGUUCACUCAUCAUGACGUUCUCACUUCAGGAUUGUAAGAAUCACCUGAUCACUGAUUCUUUUACUCUCUUGGGUAGUGUAUAUGAAGACCUUGAAAACUUUCAAGGAGGGUUUGUUCCAAGGAGGUGGAACUAAUUUUCUAUGCGAUGUUAGAACAUGUUGUUCAACAAGUAUGCAGCUACUGGUUGAAGAGAAGAUGGCUUUAGGUGUCAAACAAAGGGAUAUGUGUGUUUG